This 393-nucleotide long non-coding RNA is filed under the name Androctonus crassicauda. The record is from RNAcentral. Lineage: Eukaryota; Metazoa; Arthropoda; Arachnida; Scorpiones; Buthidae.
UCCUGAUCCGAUUAAGUAUAAAAAGGCAGUCUUUAGGAGGGCAUAUCUAUAUAGCACAGAUAGGCAAGAUCUUGAAGAAGAGUUACAGUUUAUAUACAAAAUAGGAAAACAGCAUAGAUAUAGCCUAGGAUUCUUAAAACAUUUGCAGACCAAGGCUGAGCAGGCAUUAAGCAGAAUGAAUGCCACAACUCAAAAUGUACAAGGCGGAGCAGAGAAUGAGGAAGGUUACGUCGCAUUGCCAGCACAAGUCGCGAGGCAUACAACAGUGGGAGGCAUUUUGAAGAAGAUAAGGGGGAGACCAGUGAUACGUAGGACACAGACAAUUUUUAAUAGGAUACGUAACGAAAAAGACAUGAGAAGUGAGAAUUGGAAAUCCGGAGUAUACAAAAUACC